AUUGAACGCUGGCGGCAGGCCUAACACAUGCAAGUCGAGCGGAUGAAGGGAGCUUGCUCCUGGAUUCAGCGGCGGACGGGUGAGUAAUGCCUAGGAAUCUGCCUGGUAGUGGGGGAUAACGUCCGGAAACGGGCGCUAAUACCGCAUACGUCCUGAGGGAGAAAGUGGGGGAUCUUCGGACCUCACGCUAUCAGAUGAGCCUAGGUCGGAUUAGCUAGUUGGUGGGGUAAAGGCCUACCAAGGCGACGAUCCGUAACUGGUCUGAGAGGAUGAUCAGUCACACUGGAACUGAGACACGGUCCAGACUCCUACGGGAGGCAGCAGUGGGGAAUAUUGGACAAUGGGCGAAAGCCUGAUCCAGCCAUGCCGCGUGUGUGAAGAAGGUCUUCGGAUUGUAAAGCACUUUAAGUUGGGAGGAAGGGCAGUAAGUUAAUACCUUGCUGUUUUGACGUUACCAACAGAAUAAGCACCGGCGAACUUCGG
RNAcentral lists this ribosomal RNA (483 nucleotides) under uncultured bacterium. RNAcentral's name for it is "partial 16S ribosomal RNA". It matches the Rfam family "Bacterial small subunit ribosomal RNA", at positions 30 to 506 of the family's 1533-position model. The record is from RNAcentral.